UACGUAGGGUCCAAGCGUUAUCCGGAAUCACUGGGCGUAAAGCGUGCGUAGGUGGCGUGUUAAGUGUGAUGUUAAAUCGCGGGGCUCAACCCUGUCGGUGCAUCGCAUACUGGCAUGCUAGAGGGAAGCAGAGGCAAGUGGAAUUGGUAGUGUAGCAGUGAAAUGCGUAGAUAUCGGAAGGAACAUCAGUGGCGAAAGCGACUUCCUGGACCAAUACUGACGCUCAUGUGCGAAAGCGUGGGGAGCAAACAGG
This 253-nucleotide ribosomal RNA is filed under the name uncultured bacterium. RNAcentral's name for it is "partial 16S ribosomal RNA". It matches the Rfam family "Bacterial small subunit ribosomal RNA", at positions 524 to 776 of the family's 1533-position model. The record is from RNAcentral.